Long non-coding RNA from Capsella rubella, 735 nucleotides. RefSeq lists it as uncharacterized. The record is from RefSeq and is a predicted model, not a curated record. Lineage: Eukaryota; Viridiplantae; Streptophyta; Magnoliopsida; Brassicales; Brassicaceae. The transcript is spliced from 3 exons.
CUUGUGAUGCCAUGACCUUUUAGUCUUUAGCACAUCAAAGACAUCUAAAGGCGUCGUUAUCUUUUCUUCAUCAUUCAGCACACGCCAAUUUGAAAGUUUUUGUUAAAGAAAAAGGUAAACCGAUCUGUGACAGUCUGACAGAGUAUCCUGAUUCCCUAAUUCGGUCUAGCAAACUGGGAAAAUUGCUCAGUCUCUACUCUCUAGCCACCAUGGAUGCCACCACAAUGGCUCUCAAGACCUAGUUCUAGUUCUUUCUUGAUUGCAACCGGGAAGAUCAUAUAUUAUGCUAUAUAAAAACUGCUUCAAGUAGGAAAAGGAAGAUUAUGUGAAGGAAAGCAUACGAGGAUGUACAAUACAAUAAGGAACUGCAACAAAGCCAAAGCAAAAUGAGAGAGACGUUAACCAAGUGAUAUAUUCUGAUGUUGCACUCAUUGCUAUACCGAGAGAAACAAGGAAUUAAUUACUAAUGCAGGAACGCCCAUGUUCAAUACGACGGCGUAUCGCACUCGGUUUUAUGACAUGGCACAGUUUGGUAAAAAAGUACAGUACAAGAGUACAACCGAACUAAAGUGUUUUGAAGGGGACAUAAUAAGUGCCACCUCUAGAUAUCCUAUGUAUAAGUACAACUAAAAGUGUUUUGUUUUCUUUUUAUUUUAAUUUUAGGACACUGAUAUCACCCACCUCUCUAGCUAUCCUAUGUACAGCUCAACCGAACUGGAAAACACUUGUUGUUUC